CUACGGGAGGCAGCAGUGGGGAAUAUUGGACAAUGGGGGCAACCCUGAUCCAGCAAUGCCGCGUGUGUGAAGAAGGUCUUCGGAUUGUAAAGCACUUUCACUAGGGAAGAUGAUGACGGUACCUAGAGAAGAAGCCCCGGCUAACUUCGUGCCAGCAGCCGCGGUAAUACGAAGGGGGCUAGCGUUGCUCGGAAUGACUGGGCGUAAAGGGCGCGUAGGCUGUUUGUACAGUCAGAUGUGAAAUCCCCGGGCUUAACCUGGGAACUGCAUUUGAUACGUGCAGACUAGAGUCCGAGAGAGGGUUGUGGAAUUCCCAGUGUAGAGGUGAAAUUCGUAGAUAUUGGGAAGAACACCGGUUGCGAAGGCGGCAACCUGGCUCGGAACUGACGCUGAGGCGCGAAAGCGUGGGGAGCGAACAGGAUUAGAUACCCUGGUAGUCCACGCUGUAAACGAUGUGUGCUGGAUGUUGGGUGAUUUUAUCAUUCAGUGUCNGAGCUAACGCGUUAAGCACACCGCCUGGGGAGUACNGCCGCAAGGUUAAANCUCAAAGGAAUUGACGGGGGCCCGCCCAAGCGGUG
RNAcentral lists this ribosomal RNA (578 nucleotides) under Acetobacteraceae bacterium AP30. RNAcentral describes it as "bacterial SSU rRNA". It matches the Rfam family "Bacterial small subunit ribosomal RNA", at positions 339 to 934 of the family's 1533-position model. Lineage: Bacteria; Pseudomonadati; Pseudomonadota; Alphaproteobacteria; Acetobacterales; Acetobacteraceae. The record is from RNAcentral.